Molecule: ribosomal RNA, 253 nt
Filed under: uncultured bacterium
Lineage: Bacteria
Description: partial 16S ribosomal RNA
Rfam family: Bacterial small subunit ribosomal RNA
Source: RNAcentral
UACGGAGGGGGCGAGCGUUAUUCGGAAUUAUUGGGCGUAAAGGGCGCGUAGGCGGCUGUACAAGUCAAAGGUGAAAUCCCUCGGCUCAACUGAGGAACUGCCUUUGAAACUGUACGGCUUGAGGCCGGGAGGGGGUAGCGGAAUUCCCAGUGUAGUGGUGGAAUGCGUAGAUAUCGGGAGGAACACCAGUGGCGAAGGCGGCUUCCUGGACCGGUUCUGACACUGAGGAGCGAAAGCGUGGGGAGCGAUCCGG